UGAGUGAAGAAGGCCUUCGGGUUGUAAAGCUCUUUCGCAAGGGAAGAAAACUUACACAAUAACACUGUGUGAGGCUGACGGUACCUUGAUAAGAAGCACCGGCUAACUACGUGCCAGCAGCCGCGGUAAUACGUAGGGUGCGAGCGUUAAUCGGAAUUACUGGGCGUAAAGCGUGCGCAGGCGGUUUGGCAGGUCAGAUGUGAAAUCCCCGAGCUCAACUUGGGAACUGCGUUUGAAACUGCCAGACUAGAAUAUGUCAGAGGGGGGUAGAAUUCCACGUGUAGCAGUGAAAUGCGUAGAGAUGUGGAGGAAUACCAAUGGCGAAGGCAGCCCCCUGGGAUAAUAUUGACGCUCAUGCACGAAAGCGUGGGGAGCAAACAGGAUUAGAUACCCUGGUAGUCCACGCCCUAAACGA
Molecule: ribosomal RNA, 415 nt
Filed under: uncultured bacterium
Lineage: Bacteria
Description: bacterial SSU rRNA
Rfam family: Bacterial small subunit ribosomal RNA
Source: RNAcentral